This 252-nucleotide ribosomal RNA is filed under the name uncultured bacterium. RNAcentral's name for it is "partial 16S ribosomal RNA". It matches the Rfam family "Bacterial small subunit ribosomal RNA", at positions 525 to 776 of the family's 1533-position model. The record is from RNAcentral.
ACAGAGGGUGCAAACGUUGCUCGGAUUUACUGGGCGUAAAGCGCGUGUAGGCGGACUCGCAAGUCGGUUGUGAAAUCCCUGGGCUUAACCUAGGAACUGCAUCCGAAACUGCUUGUCUUGAGUAAUGGAGAGGGUGGCGGAAUUCCCGGUGUAGAGGUGAAAUUCGUAGAUAUCGGGAGGAACAUCAGUGGCGAAGGCGGCCACCUGGACAUUUACUGACGCUGAGACGCGAAAGCGUGGGGAGCAAACAGG